UUGUGUUGAUUCGGGAGGAUAACACCUGCACUCAGGCAGUUCUGGGUCGCCUGUCUUCGCGGUCACCGGCUAUGCACGCGGAGUUGCAGUGUCUGUGGGAGUUCCUGCAAGAGCACAGCAUCGUUUUGCAGGUGGAGAGGGUUGAGAGUGCGGCAAACGAGGCGGAUGCCGCCUCCCUUUGGAUCGAUCGGGACAGUGUUUUUCUUUUCAAUUUUGCCG
This 219-nucleotide long non-coding RNA is filed under the name Volvox carteri. RNAcentral describes it as "long non-coding RNA (VCAR_LNC003636)". Lineage: Eukaryota; Viridiplantae; Chlorophyta; Chlorophyceae; Chlamydomonadales; Volvocaceae. The record is from RNAcentral.